This 497-nucleotide ribosomal RNA is filed under the name uncultured bacterium. RNAcentral's name for it is "partial 16S ribosomal RNA". It matches the Rfam family "Bacterial small subunit ribosomal RNA", at positions 28 to 507 of the family's 1533-position model. The record is from RNAcentral.
GAUGAACGCUGGCGGCGUGCCUAAUACAUGCAAGUCGAGCUAACAGACGAGGAGCUUGCUCCUCUGACGUUAGCGGCGGACGGGUGAGUAACACGUGGAUAACCUACCUAUAAGACUGGGAUAACUUCGGGAAACCGGAGCUAAUACCGGAUAAUAUAUUGAACCGCAUGGUUCAAUAGUGAAAGACGGUUUUGCUGUCACUUAUAGAUGGAUCCGCGCCGCAUUAGCUAGUUGGUAAGGUAACGGCUUACCAAGGCGACGAUGCGUAGCCGACCUGAGAGGGUGAUCGGCCACACUGGAACUGAGACACGGUCCAGACUCCUACGGGAGGCAGCAGUAGGGAAUCUUCCGCAAUGGGCGAAAGCCUGACGGAGCAACGCCGCGUGAGUGAUGAAGGUCUUCGGAUCGUAAAACUCUGUUAUUAGGGAAGAACAAAUGUGUAAGUAACUAUGCACGUCUUGACGGUACCUAAUCAGAAAGCCACGGCUAACUACGUG